RNAcentral lists this ribosomal RNA (491 nucleotides) under uncultured bacterium. Its description in RNAcentral is "bacterial SSU rRNA". It matches the Rfam family "Bacterial small subunit ribosomal RNA", at positions 29 to 523 of the family's 1533-position model. The record is from RNAcentral.
AGCGAACGUUAGCGGCGGGCCUAACACAUGCAAGUCGAGCGAGAAAGGGGGUUCGCCCCCGAGUACAGCGGCGGACGGGUGAGUAACACGUAGGUAAUUUUCCCCUUGAGCGGGGGACAACGUUCCGAAAGGGACGCUAAUACCGCAUAAGUUCUUGGGUGCUUCGGCACUGGAGAGGAAAGCUAGGCCGCAAGGUCUGGCACUCGAGGAGAAGCCUGCGUCGCAUCAGCUAGUUGGUGGGGGUAAUGGCCUACCAAGGCAAAGACGCGUAGCUGGUCUGAGAGGAUGAUCAGCCACACUGGGACUGAGACACGGCCCAGACUCCUACGGGAGGCAGCAGUGGGGAAUAUUGGGCAAUGGGCGAAAGCCUGAUCCAGCAAUGCCGCGUGAGUGAUGAAGGCCUUAGGGUUGUAAAGCUCUUUUACCCGGGAUGAUAAUGACAGUACCGGGAGAAUAAGCCCCGGCUAACUCCGUGCCAGCAGCCGCGGUAA